Pelobates cultripes (western spadefoot toad) is the source of this 106-nucleotide non-coding RNA. Lineage: Eukaryota; Metazoa; Chordata; Amphibia; Anura; Pelobatidae. The record is from the annotation of a GenBank genome assembly.
UGAAACAAGAAAGUGGAGACAAUGUUUCGGCUCCUCUGUAAGCUUUUAUCAAGACUUUACAAAGGCUCAGAGAAGAGCCGAAAUGUUGUCUCUACUUUCUGGUUUC